UACAGCAUGCUAUAGUUUUGUAGGAAACGAUCUCAUCAUCACCAAAAAAAUUGUUGACUGCGCAAUUCUGAAUGCCUAUUUUUUCCUUCUUUUUCUCACCGCAUGAUCCUAGAAGGAUGGGAUAAGAUUCUCAUCUGUUCCGCCAUUUUCUUUUGCCAUGGAAGUACCUCAUUUCGUUUUUGGGCUGCAACUCGGAAGAGUCGAUAGAGAAUCGAAGAGAGGGGAUAAAUGAUCAUCGCUGCCAUUACGAAGCUGCGCCUCCUGGGAACACCCAGAUUUACAAGACAAUGCCACCAGCAACCAGCACGAGUUCAAUCGUUCCAUGAUGUCAUCUCCACCGGCGUCGGCGGCCUCGACGACAUGCGAGCCAGCCUCGACCGUCUGGGAGUCGCCGUCACCCCUUCCCUCGUCACCCACGUCCUCGACUCCUAUAAGAGCAGCGGCGCCGGUGGCGGCACCAGACGGCUCCUCCGGUUCUUCUCCUGGUGUCGCAGCCGGAGCCGCGAGAGAUUGGGGGACGAGGUCUUCGAUCACGCCAUCCGAGCCUUCGCGGAGAUGAAGGACCUCGCUGCCAUGGGGAUCGUCAUCUCCGAUCUCCAGAAGGAGCGCCGGAAGAUGACAUCGGAGACGUUCGUCCUCGUGAUCGAGACCCUUGUGAGGUCGGGCAGGGAGGACGAGGCCGUCCGCCUGUUCCGGAGCAUGGAAGCCAAGCAGCUGCUGCCCCCGUCCUGCGUCCCAUCCAUCGUCCACGCGCUGUGCGCCAGGGGCCACGCUCGCAAGGCCCGGGGCAUCGUCUGGCACCACAGGGACGAGCUCCAGGUGGCGCCUGCGGCCACCGCUGCUGUCAUCCACCGUAGCCUCCUCCACGGGUGGUGCGUCCAUGGGAACGUCAGGGAGGCCCGCCGAGCCAUGGACGAGAUGAAGUCGCUGGGAACCGCCCCGGGCCUCGCCUCCUACAACGCCCUCCUCCGCUGCAUCUGCCAGAGGAACCUCACGUUCAACCCCUCCGCCCUCGUCCCGGAGGCCGCGGAUCUGAUGUCGGAGAUGCGGGCCUCCGGCGUCUCCCCGACCACCGUCAGUUUCAACAUCCUCCUGUCCUGCCUCGGCAGGGCGAGGAGGGUGAAGGAGGCCCACCGGAUCCUCCACUCCAUGCGGCAGCUGGGGGAGUCUGGAUGUGCGCCGGACUGGAUUAGCUACUAUAUCGUGGUGAGGGUUCUUUACCUCACUCGGAGGUUUGUCAGAGGCAACAGGCUCGUGGAUCAGGUGCUCGAGGAAAGGCUGUCGCCUGGAGCGAGGUUCUACCGCGGUCUUGCUGGCGUCCUCUGUGGGCUGGAGAGGGUGGAUCACGCCCUCAAGAUGUUCGAGCGGAUGAAGAGGUGCUGCGUGGAGGAGCAGGGGCCGACCUAUGAUCUGCUUAUAGAGAAGCUCUGCAGAAUUGGAAGAUUUGACGCGGGGAGGCGUCUCUGGGAGGAGGCAGCGGAGAGGGGCAUCAUUCUCCAGUGCUCCAAGGAUCUCUUAGAUCCUUCUAAGACUGAUGUUUUCAUACCAAUGGAGCCCGCGGUGAAGUUGAGUCCACGGCAGAAACGGAAGAAAGGUGCUGUUGGAACCAAGGAAAAGGUUCGAAGGGAGAAAGAACAUGCAUCCUCGUAGGUUGAGGCAGUCAAGAUGAAACCCACCUUUACUUACUGGCAAUCAGUGUUUCUCAAGGUGUUCACUCAGGUGCCUAGGCAAUAAAUACGUUGAAGCGACUAAGCGGUGCACACUGAAAUCCCAUCCUUCCACAGGAAGGAAAAGAAUAUAUGAGAAGAAUUGAUGUCUAACAGAAAGGAUGAUCAAUUAUUGCGGUGCACCAAAAGAGAAAUCACUAUUGCCAGCAUCUGGAUUUUUACCCAUAGUGAUAGGUCUCCUUGGCUCUGAAUACCCAUGAUUAACAAAUGGAGGGGCUUCCAUUUCAGAGUUUUCAUAAUCUGAAUGGUAAAACCUUGGUGAACUUGGGACACUUUCUACAUCUACUGAGUUUAACUUGUAUUUGUGGAGCAAAUGCAUGGGCGAUGAUCCUCGACUAGGUGUAUUUUCUCCACUCAUAUAUCCGGCAUCUGAGUUUGCACCUCUAAGCUUCUUUCUUUCUUUA
Non-coding RNA from Elaeis guineensis (African oil palm), 2131 nucleotides. Lineage: Eukaryota; Viridiplantae; Streptophyta; Magnoliopsida; Arecales; Arecaceae. The record is from RefSeq and is a predicted model, not a curated record.